RNAcentral lists this ribosomal RNA (464 nucleotides) under uncultured Anoxybacillus sp. RNAcentral describes it as "bacterial SSU rRNA". It matches the Rfam family "Bacterial small subunit ribosomal RNA", at positions 920 to 1382 of the family's 1533-position model. Lineage: Bacteria; Bacillati; Bacillota; Bacilli; Caryophanales; Anoxybacillaceae. The record is from RNAcentral.
CCCGCACAAGCGGUGGAGCAUGUGGUUUAAUUCGAAGCAACGCGAAGAACCUUACCAGGUCUUGACAUCCCCUGACAACCCGAGAGAUCGGGCGUUCCCCUUCGGGGGGACAGGGUGACAGGUGGUGCAUGGUUGUCGUCAGCUCGUGUCGUGAGAUGUUGGGUUAAGUCCCGCAACGAGCGCAACCCUCGACCUUAGUUGCCAGCAUUCAGUUGGGCACUCUAAGGUGACUGCCGGCUAAAAGUCGGAGGAAGUGGGGAUGACGUCAAAUCAUCAUGCCCCUUAUGACCUGGGCUACACACGUGCUACAAUGGGCGGUACAAAGGUUCGCGAACCCGCGAGGGGGAGCCAAUCCCAAAAAGCCGCUCUCAGUUCGGAUUGCAGGCUGCAACUCGCCUGCAUGAAGCCGGAAUCGCUAGUAAUCGCGGAUCAGCAUGCCGCGGUCGAAUACGUUCCCGGGCCUU